RNAcentral lists this transfer RNA (70 nucleotides) under Tlacuatzin canescens. RNAcentral's name for it is "tRNA-Gly". Lineage: Eukaryota; Metazoa; Chordata; Mammalia; Didelphimorphia; Didelphidae. The record is from RNAcentral.
UAUUUUUCUAGUAUAAUUAGUACUACUGAUUUCCAAUCAUUAAGUUCUGGGUAAUUCCAGAGAAAAAUAA